CAACAGCACAGCUGCUCAAGUUGAAAGGAGAUUAAGGAGCUGAGAAAUUGCCUCUUUCCCCUUCCCAAAGAGGCUCUGCUAGGCACAGUUGUAAGCAAACGGCAAAGGAAAGGCAGAUGAAUCCACUCCACAGCUUGAUUUGAUUACUUGAAGAUAAAUUCAUAUUUCACUUCUUUAACUUUCUGCUUCAAGAAAGAAGAAUCCCAUCUGCUAGAAAGAAAUAUUUGUAGCCAACAUGACAAAAGUGGAAUCCCUACUUCAUAACAGCUGUGAAUCAAAACACGAGUGACUGAAAUUAACUACAUUGUGUUGCCGAGCAGAUGUGCUUCCAGAAACGAACUCCAGCUCUUUUGUUCCCAGGCACCAUGUGUAAAUCAUCCACAGACAACACGAGUUCUCCAGACAAAUUCAGUUCCAUGGAGCCAACUGUUGCCAUCCCCCAGGUGCAGUAGCAACAUACACACAGGUCACAAGAGUCAAGCACUGCACAAGUUCUUGGGGAUUUGGAGCCAAAUUGGAUGGUUGACCAGCCCUAAUGGUUGGCAGAGACUUUUAUCUGCUCCUCUGAGAUCACUGUUCACACGUUCUCACAGUAUAUCUGUCUGCUGCAAUUAGGGUGCUGCAAAGCUGUUGUUGAUAAAGUGACAUUUGCUCUAAGCAUUGUCACUUUGAAGAAUACCCACGAAGGAAAAUGAAAAUCGAUGUAAUUACAAGUCAUCAACUGCAAAUUUCAUUCACUUACUUGCUUCAAAACUGCCAAAUGAAAAUAAUUUCAGUUUACCUUAAUAACAAUAUAUGGAUAGUCAGUUUUUUUGAAAAGCUUAUUUUCAAUCUGCAUUUCUAAUAUUAAAAAGAGGAAAAGCACUCAGUCCAAUUUUCUCUAGUUAGAGAAUCCUAACUUUUCACAAAACACUUGCAAUUAAGUGGUUGCCUAAUAAUUUACUACAAUAAGUAUUGAAAUGUGUGUUUUAAGCCAAAUGCUUUUUUAACUUUUGACUACUGUCUUACCUGAAUAGUUAUAUUUUUAAAUUCUAAUAACUUUUGUGAAGAAGGUGGCACCCAAAUAAGGUAUCAUGUAUGAUCAAUGCAGUACAAUGAAUACAUUGAUCACAUGACAUUUAUUAUCUUUCUAAAAUUUUCUGUACUCAUUAUUGUGGGAAAAUAUAUAACAAAAGAAACAACUGAAGGUCAGUUUCCUCCAAACAACUUUGGAAACUCUGAGCAAAUAGAAAGAUAAUUCCAUCUAGCAGACAGUAAGAGUAACUGUUAAUUAAUAAAUGUGGACAAUAUACUCCUCAGCACAAGUCAAAACCUGGUGGCUGCCUCUAAACAAAUUUUGUUUGCCCCCUGAUAAUCUUUUUUCAUUUAUUUUCCAGUGUUAAACAUUUAUGAGAUUGCAUUUCAAUAUUUAAUUUAUAUAUCUUUGAAAAACCUAGGCCACCUGGCAACAUGGGCUGUUAACCCCUACAUCAAUGAUGGGCUAACCUCACUCUGUAAUAUCCUGAGGGGGCUCCUGUGGGCCUCUGAGUUAGCAUCUGUUUUGUGUUCUGUCGUAGUUAAAGGAAAGUCCUCUCAUUACCAGCCUAGAGUCAUCAAUGUAGAUAUCAAAAGGAGGUGGGACAUGGGGUAAACUUUGAAGAAUGGACAGGAAAGAAAAUGGGGAUGAGGGAUUGGGGGUCUCUGAGGUUAUAGUAGUGGUGUAGGCAAAGCUUCAGGAGUGAAGGUGGGGGACAGAUGUAUAAGUCAAGAGCAAUAGUAAAUGGAAAGUUCUGACUGGGAGAGAGGUAUAGGAAUGGGGCAUAUUGUGAGAAAGCCCAGAAAGAACUGACUGCAGAGUAACUGAAGAGAGCCUUGAAUGCCAACUCAAGGAGCUUCUGGGACAUUAUCCAAGAAACAGCUCUUAGCUUGUUUGAAAAACUAAUCAACCCACUCCACAUGUAAUUUCACCAUAUUCAUAUGCCCACUUAAGCUUGGGUAACUGCACUAUUACUACUAUGGUAAUCUGGCAGCAGUGGUGCCCAAACUGAAGAGGACUGGCAUCGGAAGCAGAGAGCAAUUGGCAAGGAAGGGGAAAAGCAAAGGAAGCUGUGGAGGGUCAUUAUGUAUACAAGCACCUGAGUCACACCGGCUGGGUUCCAAGACUAAGUACCAAGACUUUCUGCAGGUCUUUUAACAUCUUUGAGCCCGAAUUUUCUCAGCUCUGAGGAGGAAAUAGUACUUGUGUCAGAAAACUAUGCUAAGGAUUUAAUAAAGCAAUACAUGUUAUAUAUGCUUGGAAGAGUUUUAGGCACAAAGUAAGAGCUUAAUAAACAUUAACCAUACCACUAUCAUCAUCAUCAU
Long non-coding RNA from Canis lupus familiaris (dog), 2340 nucleotides. RefSeq lists it as uncharacterized. The transcript has 4 exons. Lineage: Eukaryota; Metazoa; Chordata; Mammalia; Carnivora; Canidae. The record is from RefSeq and is a predicted model, not a curated record.